Molecule: ribosomal RNA, 497 nt
Filed under: uncultured bacterium
Lineage: Bacteria
Description: partial 16S ribosomal RNA
Rfam family: Bacterial small subunit ribosomal RNA
Source: RNAcentral
GAUGAACGCUGGCGGCGUGCCUAAUACAUGCAAGUCGAGCGAACAGACGAGGAGCUUGCUCCUCUGACGUUAGCGGCGGACGGGUGAGUAACACGUGGAUAACCUACCUAUAAGACUGGGAUAACUUCGGGAAAACGGAGCUAAUACCGGAUAAUAUAUUGAACCGCAUGGUUCAAUAGUGAAAGACGGUUUUGCUGUCACUUAUAGAUGGAUCCGCGCCGCAUUAGCUAGUUGGUAAGGUAACGGCUUACCAAGGCGACGAUGCGUAGCCGACCUGAGAGGGUGAUCGGCCACACUGGAACUGAGACACGGUCCAGACUCCUACGGGAGGCAGCAGUAGGGAAUCUUCCGCAAUGGGCGAAAGCCUGACGGAGCAACGCCGCGUGAGUGAUGAAGGUCUUCGGAUCGUAAAACUCUGUUAUUAGGGAAGAACAAAUGUGUAAGUAACUAUGCACGUCUUGACGGUACCUAAUCAGAAAGCCACGGCUAACUACGUG